GAUGAACGCUGGCGGCGUGCCUAAUACAUGCAAGUCGAGCGAAUGGAUUGAGAGCUUGCUCUUAUGAAGUUAGCGGCGGACGGGUGAGUAACACGUGGGUAACCUGCCCAUAAGACUGGGAUAACUCCGGGAAACCGGGGCUAAUACCGGAUAACAUUUUGAACCGCAUGGUUCGAAAUUGAAAGGCGGCUUCGGCUGUCACUUAUGGAUGGACCCGCGUCGCAUUAGCUAGUUGGUGAGGUAACGGCUCACCAAGGCAACGAUGCGUAGCCGACCUGAGAGGGUGAUCGGCCACCCUGGGACUGAGACCCGGCCCAGACUCCUACGGGAGGCAGCAGUAGGGAAUCUUCCGCAAUGGACGAAAGUCUGACGGAGCAACGCCGCGUGAGUGAUGAAGGCUUUCGGGUCGUAAAACUCUGUUGUUAGGGAAGAACAAGUGCUAGUUGAAUAAGCUGGCACCUUGACGGUACCUAACCAGAAAGCCACGGCUAAACUCGUGCCAGCAGCCGCCGUAA
This 515-nucleotide ribosomal RNA is filed under the name uncultured bacterium. Its description in RNAcentral is "partial 16S ribosomal RNA". It matches the Rfam family "Bacterial small subunit ribosomal RNA", at positions 28 to 523 of the family's 1533-position model. The record is from RNAcentral.